UUUCACCGACCCCAGCAGCAGCGGCUGGUCGGCCGGCCUGUCCUGCCCGUACGUCGCCAGCAGCGCCUGUGCCUC
Molecule: antisense RNA, 75 nt
Filed under: Streptomyces sp. ADI95-16
Lineage: Bacteria; Bacillati; Actinomycetota; Actinomycetes; Kitasatosporales; Streptomycetaceae
Description: ASpks TB sRNA
Rfam family: ASpks TB sRNA
Source: RNAcentral